GGAUUACGAGGAGGUUGGUGCUGAGUCUGCUGAAUGUGAGGAUGGUGAAGAACCUGAAGAUUAUUGAGCAGUUACCUAUCGUAACUGUGUUUUUCUAUAAGCUCUGUUCUUGCUGGGGUUUUCUUGUUAGUGUCUUCUUUAUCUUUGUUGAACUUGAAGCUUGGUAUCUUUCAACUUGGUUGUCACUCCUGUCCAGACUUAUAUGUUUGGUU
RNAcentral lists this unclassified non-coding RNA (212 nucleotides) under Hevea brasiliensis (rubber tree). The record is from RNAcentral. Lineage: Eukaryota; Viridiplantae; Streptophyta; Magnoliopsida; Malpighiales; Euphorbiaceae.